Long non-coding RNA from Bubalus bubalis (water buffalo), 807 nucleotides. RefSeq lists it as uncharacterized. The record is from RefSeq and is a predicted model, not a curated record. Lineage: Eukaryota; Metazoa; Chordata; Mammalia; Artiodactyla; Bovidae. The transcript is spliced from 2 exons.
CACUACUUUAUUAAGCACGAGUGUGUAAUUCUCUGAAAUAUUUCUUUGUGGGAAAGAGAUUCUGCCCCGCACGGCCCAAUUCAAAGCUUCCGCUAGUGCUAAGCCCAAUGUUUCCGAAUUUCCCGCUGACCGAGACUCCAGGUCCAUAGAUCGCCCCUCGCAGCCGAUCCCCGACCCCGGCCCCGGCGGAGGCGGGAGACGGAUGCGGACCUGCAGCCCCCGUAGACAGAGGACCAGAGUACGGGCCUCUGAAAGGCGGGGACUUGGUGGAAGCGGUCCAGUUCUCGCGAGGUUUCGUCCUGACGAGAACAGGCGACAGCUCCGCGGAGAGAGUGGGUUUCGCUCACAGGAGGGAGCCGAAGGGCCCGGGGUGGUCGUUGUUACCCGGGGUCCGAGCCGGGGGAGAAGCCGUCACCCGUAAAAAGCCAGUUCUCCCUAAAGUCACCCCUGGGGAAGUCCAAGGCAGCGCUGGCCUCUUCCUUCGGCUGUGGGGGCAGCUCAGGCAAACCUUGCCAGCUAAAGGAAACCGCCCUAAGCAAAAAAGAAAAAUCGUUUCAGCCCGUGGAUGUUUCCCGUCGAGGCUAGGACACUGGGCCCUCCAGCGCCGCAUAGUGGUCUUGCAUACUGCUAAGGGCCGCGGAUCCGCCCUGCGGGUGCCCGAUCUCGCAAUAAAGAGCGUGGGGGCUUCACCGCCAACGACUGUCUGGUUUUAAUUAAAAGAUUUCUUGAAAAACGGCAGUGUGCACAGCCUUUUCUGACCUCACAGAUCCCUUUUAGAUUGUUCAGCCCUCGUCAUCCUUUUGACAG